Long non-coding RNA from Onychomys torridus (southern grasshopper mouse), 269 nucleotides. RefSeq lists it as uncharacterized. The record is from RefSeq and is a predicted model, not a curated record. NCBI's taxonomy places the organism in Eukaryota, Metazoa, Chordata, Mammalia, Rodentia, Cricetidae. The transcript has 2 exons.
AGUCACAGUGGCACAUCUUCACACGGUGUAAAGGAAUAUUCCACAACAGUUUUGUUUGCUGCUGCCAGGGAUUGAGCCUAAAACUUACUUAAUGCAUGCUGGCUGAUGAGUUUUCUACUGCCCACUGUAUUCCCCUAUGCUGGCUGAUGAGGUGUUCUAUUGCCCACUGUAUUCCCAGCACUUACUCUCACCUCUCAAAACUAUUUCACAGUAACCCAUCUCAGAUUCAUUGUAUGAAACAGACUGUCAAUAAAUUUAAAUUCAGCAAA